UCCGUAGGUGGAUAAUUAAGUCAGAGGUGAAAUCCUGCAGCUCAACUGUAGAAUUGCCUUUGAUACUGGUUAUCUUGAGUCAUUAUGAAGUGGUUAGAAUGUGUAGUGUAGCGGUGAAAUGCAUAGAUAUUACACAGAAUACCGAUUGCGAAGGCAGAUCACUAAUAAUGUACUGACACUGAGGGACGAAAGCGUGGGGAGCGAACAGGAUUAGAUACCCUGGUAGUC
Molecule: ribosomal RNA, 228 nt
Filed under: uncultured bacterium
Lineage: Bacteria
Description: partial 16S ribosomal RNA
Rfam family: Bacterial small subunit ribosomal RNA
Source: RNAcentral